Molecule: ribosomal RNA, 420 nt
Filed under: bacterium
Lineage: Bacteria
Description: partial 16S ribosomal RNA
Rfam family: Bacterial small subunit ribosomal RNA
Source: RNAcentral
UGGGGGAUAUUGCACAAUGGGCGAAAGCCUGAUGCAGCGACGCCGCGUGGGGGAUGAAGGCUUUCGGGUUGUAAACCUCUUUCGCUAUCGAACAAGGCCCGCUUAGGGUGGGUUGAGGGUAGGUGGAGAAGAAGCGCCGGCUAACUACGUGCCAGCAGCCGCGGUAAUACGUAGGGCGCGAGCGUUGUCCGGAAUUAUUGGGCGUAAAGGGCUUGUAGGCGGCUUGUUGCGCCUGCUGUGAAAACGCGGGGCUUAACUUCGCGCGUGCAGUGGGUACUGGCAGGCUUGAGUGUGGUAGGGGUGACUGGAAUUCCAGGUGUAGCGGUGGAAUGCGCAGAUAUCUGGAGGAACACCGAUGGCGAAGGCAGGUUACUGGGCCAUUACUGACGCUGAGGAGCGAAAGCAUGGGUAGCGAACAGG